Molecule: small nucleolar RNA, 130 nt
Filed under: Marmota monax (woodchuck)
Lineage: Eukaryota; Metazoa; Chordata; Mammalia; Rodentia; Sciuridae
Source: RNAcentral
UUGCCAUUAGAAAACGAUGUUGAUGCUGUAGCUAUUGGUUUCAAACAGGAGCUGGGGUGAGGUCAUUCCUGUGGUCUGCAGCCAUUUAGUAUUCCAGUGGGAAUGCUCAAUUCAGUUGGAAGAGAAAAGA